This 468-nucleotide ribosomal RNA is filed under the name uncultured bacterium. RNAcentral's name for it is "partial 16S ribosomal RNA". It matches the Rfam family "Bacterial small subunit ribosomal RNA", at positions 28 to 507 of the family's 1533-position model. The record is from RNAcentral.
GACGAACGCUGGCGGCGUGCUUAACACAUGCAAGUCGAACGGAAAUGCCCUGCUUUUGUGGGGUGCUCGAGUGGCGAACGGGUGAGUAACACGUGAGUAACCUGCCCUUGACUUUGGGAUAACUUCAGGAAACUGGGGCUAAUACCGGAUAGGAGCUCCUGCUGCAUGGUGGGGGUUGGAAAGUUUCGGCGGUUGGGGAUGGACUCGCGGCUUAUCAGCUUGUUGGUGGGGUAGUGGCUUACCAAGGCUUUGACGGGUAGCCGGCCUGAGAGGGUGACCGGCCACAUUGGGACUGAGAUACGGCCCAGACUCAUACGGGAGGCAGCAGUGGGGAAUAUUGCACAAUGGGCGGAAGCCUGAUGCAGCAACGCCGCGUGCGGGAUGACGGCCUUAGGGUUGUAAACCGCGUUCGCCUGUGACGAAGCGUGAGUGACGGUAAUGGGUAAAGAAGCACCGGCUAACUACGUG